RNAcentral lists this ribosomal RNA (204 nucleotides) under Clostridioides difficile. Its description in RNAcentral is "partial 23S ribosomal RNA". It matches the Rfam family "Bacterial large subunit ribosomal RNA", at positions 1288 to 1491 of the family's 2925-position model. Lineage: Bacteria; Bacillati; Bacillota; Clostridia; Peptostreptococcales; Peptostreptococcaceae. The record is from RNAcentral.
GUGAGAAUGUUGGCAUGAGUAGCGAGAUGUGGGUGAGAAUCCCACAGGCCGUAAACCCAAGGUUUCCAGGGGAAGGGUCGUCCGCCCUGGGUUAGUCGGGACCUAAGCUGAGGCCGAAAGGCGUAGGGGAUGGACAACAGGUUGAUAUUCCUGUACUACCGAUAACCGUUUGAGGGAAGGGAUGACACAGUAGGAUAAGCUAAG